UAUGUAGGCGGUUCGGAAAGUCAGGUGUGAAAGCCCGGGGCUCAACCCCGGAACGGCACCCGAUACUCCCGGACUUGAGUCAUGGAGGGGAGUCUGGAAUUCACGGUGUAGCAGUGAAAUGCGUGGAUAUCGUGAGGAACACUAGUGGCGAAGGCGAGACUCUGGACAUGUACUGACGCUGAGAUACGAAGGCCAGGGGAGCGAACG
This 207-nucleotide ribosomal RNA is filed under the name uncultured bacterium. Its description in RNAcentral is "partial 16S ribosomal RNA". It matches the Rfam family "Bacterial small subunit ribosomal RNA", at positions 568 to 774 of the family's 1533-position model. The record is from RNAcentral.